RNAcentral lists this long non-coding RNA (366 nucleotides) under Dromaius novaehollandiae (emu). RNAcentral describes it as "lncRNA (ENSDNVG00000012963.1)". The record is from RNAcentral. Lineage: Eukaryota; Metazoa; Chordata; Aves; Casuariiformes; Dromaiidae.
AAUCGGCAAAACUUUUAACAUGUGAAAAGGAAAGAAUAUGCAUUCCUGCUCCAACCCCCUGCCUCCCUCCGCAGCAGCAGAGAUGACAAAUGAUCUUUCUGGCAACAACAUCAACUGCCUACAUUGGAAAUAAACAUCUUUCCUCAGGUAGCUGUUCAAAUCUGAUCCUAAUUAUUCAGUAGAUGUUUUCAUAAAAAGAGAGAGGCUUCUCUGAGAAAGAAAAGCUCAGAUAUAAGAGGUUUUACCUGGUGAAAAGAAUCUAGGAAAAAGCUGAAUUUCAUAUGGUGAAGGAUCACAGAAUGCAAAUACAAGGACCUAGCGCAUUUUUGAUGCUGUCCUUGAAAGAGGUGUGAUCAGCAAACAGGA